This 1904-nucleotide long non-coding RNA is filed under the name Lactuca sativa (garden lettuce). RNAcentral describes it as "long non-coding RNA (LSAT_LNC002779)". The record is from RNAcentral. Lineage: Eukaryota; Viridiplantae; Streptophyta; Magnoliopsida; Asterales; Asteraceae.
UAUUUUGGGCUAAUUUCAUGAGUUCCUAAGGGGUUUGGACACUCAUUAGCAUCAAUUAAACAUAUAAGUUUAAUUAACUUAACCCAAAAACGACAUCGGAACGUUUCGAUAUACGGCGAGUUAUACGGGUAGAAUGGGUUUUUGGCGAUGGACAACUUCGGGUUGUUACAGCUUUGAUUAGGAUUGUUUAAUUCUUGAGUUUCACAAUAGAAGUUUAUGCAAUUUAGCAAAGUUUUAAUAUCAUUGUUUAAUUCUUGAGUUCCAGAAUACAUGUCUAUGCAAUUUAGUAAAGCUUUGAUGAGCAUUGUUUAAUUCUCGAGUUCCACAAUAGAAGUCUAUGCAAUAUACCAACGCUUUGAUGAACAUUGUUUAAUUCUUGAGUCCCACACUAAAGUCUAUGCAAUUUAAGCAAAGGUUUGAUGAGGAUUGUUUAAUUUUUAAGUUCUACAAUAAAAGUCUAUGCAAUUUACCAAAGCUUUGAUGAGCAUUGUUUGACUCUUGAGUUCCACAAUUGAAGUCUAUGAAAUUUAAGCAAAGCUUUGAUGAACAUUGUUUAAUUCUCGAGUUCCAUAGUAGAAGUCUAUGCAAUAUAAGAAAGCUUUGAUGAUUAUCGUUUAAUUCUUGAGUUCCACAAUAGAAGUCUAUGCAAUUUAAGUAAAGCUUUGAUGAGCAUUGUUUGAUUCUUGAGUUCGACAAUAGAAGUAGUCAAUCCAAUUUAGCAAGGUUUGAAGAGCAUUGUUUAAUUCUUGAGUUCUAAAAUAGAAGUCUAUGCAAUUUAGUAAAGCUUUGAGGAGUAUUGUUUAAUUCUUGAGUUCCACAAUAGAAGUCUAUGCAAUUUAAGCAAAGCUUUGAUGAGCAUUGUUUAAUUCUCGGGUUCCAUAAUAGAAGUCUAUGCAAUUUAAGCAAAACUUUAAUGAACAUUGUUUAAUUCUUGAGUUCCACAAUACAUCUCUAUGCAAUUUUGCAAAGCUUUUAUGAGUAUUUUUUAAUUCCUGUGUUCCACAAUAGAAGUCUAUGCCAUUUAGGAAAGCUUUGAUGAGCGUUGUUUAAUUCAUGAGUUCCACAAUAGUAGUCUACGCGAUUUAAGCAAAGAUUUGAUGAUGAUUGUUUAAUUCUUGAGUUCUACAAUAGAAUUCUAUGCAAUUUACCAAAGCUUUGAUGAGCAUGGUUUAAUUCUUGAGUUCCACAAUAGAAGUCUAUGUAAUUUAAGCAAAGCUUUGAUGAGCAUUGUUUAAUUCUCGGGUUCCAUAAUAGGAGUCUAUGGAAUUUAAACAAAGCUUUGAUUAGGAUUGUUUAAUUCUUGAGUUUCACAAUAGAAGUAUAUGUAAUUUAGCAAAGUUUUAAAUGCAUUGUUUAAUUCUUGAGUUCUAGAAUACAUGUCUAUGCAAUUUAGCAAAGAUUUGAUGAGCUUUGUUUAAUUCUUGAGUCCCACAAUAGAAGUCUAUGCAAUUUAGCAAAGCGUUGAUGAAAAUUGUUUAAUUCUUGAGUUCCACACUAAAGGCUAUGGAAUUUAAGCAACGCUUUGACGAGGAUUGUUUAAUUCUUGAGUUCUACAAUAGAAGUCUAUGCAAUUUAGCAAAGCGUUGAUGAAAAUUGUUUAAUUCUUGAGUUCCACACUAAAGGCUAUGGAAUUUAAGCAACGCUUUGACGAGGAUUGUUUAAUUCUUGAGUUCUACAAUAGAAGUCUAUGCAAUUUAAGCAAAGCUUUGAUGAACAUUGUUUAAUUCUAGAGUUCCAUAGUAGAAGUCUGUGAUAACUCGAAAUUUUCAUUCGAUCAAACCCUAGCAGUCAAUCACUUCAUAUUAUAAUUCAAGUUCACUUUUGCUUGUUUUUGGGAAAAAUAAGUUCGUUUGAUUAUUUUAAUAUUAUUUUUAAACGAACGGGUGAAAGAAAGUGUCGUCUCG